RNAcentral lists this transfer RNA (88 nucleotides) under Candidatus Kerfeldbacteria bacterium CG08_land_8_20_14_0_20_42_7. RNAcentral describes it as "tRNA-Leu". It matches the Rfam family "tRNA". From Rfam's summary of the family: Transfer RNA (tRNA) molecules are approximately 80 nucleotides in length. Their secondary structure includes four short double-helical elements and three loops (D, anti-codon, and T loops). The record is from RNAcentral. Lineage: Bacteria; Candidatus Kerfeldiibacteriota.
GUCGAGGUGGCGGAAUGGCAGACGCGCAGGUCUCAAAAACCUGUGGUGCUCAAACACCAUGAGGGUCCGACUCCCUCCCUCGGCACAA